UUCGUGCUAUAAUGAGGGAACCGUUGUUACGCGAUAUUGUUCACUAUUAGCUGAAGCGCAAAGUACAAUUCAUGCAGGCACGAUUCAUGUAAUCAUUUUAUCACGAUUGGAGGAUAGCGGGGUAUGUAGGCGGGUCUAGCUGUUUUGAUAUUAUUGGACAUUAUUAUUA
Aricia agestis (brown argus) is the source of this 169-nucleotide long non-coding RNA. RefSeq lists it as uncharacterized. The transcript has 4 exons. The record is from RefSeq and is a predicted model, not a curated record. Lineage: Eukaryota; Metazoa; Arthropoda; Insecta; Lepidoptera; Lycaenidae.